RNAcentral lists this long non-coding RNA (208 nucleotides) under Brassica napus (rape). RNAcentral's name for it is "long non-coding RNA (BNAP_LNC000786)". Lineage: Eukaryota; Viridiplantae; Streptophyta; Magnoliopsida; Brassicales; Brassicaceae. The record is from RNAcentral.
UUUUGUUGUGAUCUGCCUCAGCCAUCCAAGCUUUCCUCUUUAGACCCUCCCUUCCAUCGUAUCCAUCAACAAACGGGUUGAUUGGGUUGAACAUUUCCUCGGUGUUGAGCUCAUCAGAGUACAGAUUAGGCAGAGUAUGACCAUUCCAUAGGUCAUCUUCUUCUUCAGCUUCCUCUAUCAGAUCUUCACGGCCUUCCACUUGCUCCUC